UGGCGGCGUGCUUUACACAUGCAAGUCGAGCGAGGCGGAAUGGGGGUAACCCUGUUCCAGUCGAGCGGCGAACGGGUGAGUAACGCGUGGAUACCUACCUCGAGGUGGGGGAUAACCCGGGGAAACUCGGGCUAAUACCGCAUAACAUCUACGGAUCAAAGGGGGCGCAAGCUCCCGCCGUGAGAGGGGUCCGCGUCCGAUUAGCUAGUUGGUAGGGUAAUGGCCUACCAAGGCGACGAUCGGUAGCCGGCCUGAGAGGGUGAUCGGCCACACUGGAACUGAGACACGGUCCAGACUCCUACGGGAGGCAGCAGUGGGGAAUUUUGCGCAAUGGGCGAAAGCCUGACGCAGCAACGCCGCGUGGAGGAUGAAGGUCUUCGGAUUGUAAACUCCUGUCAGUAGGGACGAAGGCUUCUGACCUAAUACGUCAGGAGAUUGACGGUACCUGCAGAGGAAGCCCCGGCUAACUCCGUGCCAGCAGCCGCGGUAAUACAGAGGGGGCAAGCGUUAUUCGGAAUUAUUGGGCGUAAAGGGCGCGUAGGCGGCAUGACAAGUGGAAGGUGAAAUCCCUCGGCUCAACCGAGGAACUGCCCUCCAAACUGUCUUGCUUGAGUCCGGGAGAGGUGAGUGGAAUUCCCAGUGUAGCGGUGAAAUGCGUAGAUAUUGGGAGGAACACCAGUGGCGAAGGCGGCUCACUGGACCGGAACUGACGCUGAGGCG
Molecule: ribosomal RNA, 720 nt
Filed under: uncultured soil bacterium
Lineage: Bacteria
Description: bacterial SSU rRNA
Rfam family: Bacterial small subunit ribosomal RNA
Source: RNAcentral